GGCGUGCCUAAUACAUGCAAGUCGAACGCACAGCGAAAGGUGCUUGCACCUUUCAAGUGAGUGGCGAACGGGUGAGUAACACGUGGAUAACCUACCUCAAGGUUGGGGAAUAACAUUUGGAAACAGAUGCUAAUACCGAAUAAAACUUCGUAUCGCAUGAUACAAGGUUAAAAGGCGCUACGGCGUCACCUAGAGAUGGAUCCGCGGUGCAUUAGUUAGUUGGUGGGGUAAAGGCCUACCAAGACAAUGAUGCAUAGCCGAGUUGAGAGACUGAUCGGCCACAUUGGGACUGAGACACGGCCCAAACUCCUACGGGAGGCUGCAGUAGGGAAUCUUCCAUAAUGGGCGAAAGCCUGAUGGAGCAACGCCGCGUGUGUGAUGAAGGCUUUCGGGUCGUAAAGCACUGUUGUAUGGGAAGAACAGCUAGAGUAGGGAAUGACUUUAGUUUGACGGUACCAUACCAGAAAGGGACGGCUAAAUACGUG
RNAcentral lists this ribosomal RNA (485 nucleotides) under uncultured bacterium. Its description in RNAcentral is "bacterial SSU rRNA". It matches the Rfam family "Bacterial small subunit ribosomal RNA", at positions 41 to 507 of the family's 1533-position model. The record is from RNAcentral.